This 800-nucleotide ribosomal RNA is filed under the name uncultured bacterium. RNAcentral's name for it is "bacterial SSU rRNA". It matches the Rfam family "Bacterial small subunit ribosomal RNA", at positions 604 to 1401 of the family's 1533-position model. The record is from RNAcentral.
AGGGCUCAACCCUUGACCUGCCGUUGAAACUGGAGUUCUUGAAUGCGGAUGCUGUGGGAGGAAUGUGUGGUGUAGCGGUGAAAUGCAUAGAUAUCACACAGAACACCGAUUGCGAAGGCAUCUCACAAAUCCGUGAUUGACGCUGAGGCACGAAAGUGUGGGGAUCAAACAGGAUUAGAUACCCUGGUAGUCCACACUGUAAACGAAGGAAAACUCGCCGUUUGGGGAUACACCAGUCGGGUGGCCAAGCGAAAAGCGAUAAGUUAUCCCCCCUGGGGAGUAGGCCCGCAAGGUUGAAACUCAAAGAAUUGACGGGGGCCCGCACAAGCGGAGGAACAUGGGGUUUAAUUCGAUGAUACGCGAGGAACCUUACCCGGGCUCGAACGGCAAGUGAACGACACAGAGAUGUGAAGGUCCUUCGGGACACUUGUCGAGGUGCUGCAUGGUUGUCGUCAGCUCGUGCCGUGAGGUGUCGGCUCAAGUGCCAUAACGAGCGCAACCCUUGCCUGCAGUUGCCAUCGGGUAAAGCCGGGGACUCUGCAGGGACUGCCACCGCAAGGUGAGAGGAGGGGGGGGAUGACGUCAAAUCAGCACGGCCCUUACGUCCGGGGCGACACACGUGUUACAAUGGCGGCCACAGCGGGAAGCCACCCAGUGAUGGGGCGCGGAUCCCAAAAAAGCCGCCUCAGCUCGGAUCGGAGUAUGCAACCCGACUCCGUGAAGCUGGAUUCGCUAGUAAUCGCGCAUCAGCCAUGGCGCGGUGAAUACGUUCACGGGCCUUGCACACACCGCCCGUCAAG